Molecule: long non-coding RNA, 9436 nt
Organism: Zonotrichia albicollis (white-throated sparrow)
Lineage: Eukaryota; Metazoa; Chordata; Aves; Passeriformes; Passerellidae
Source: RefSeq, a predicted model, not a curated record
UAAAAUAGAAAAAGUACUAUUUUAUGUAACUGUUUAGCAUAUAUUAUUGGGCUUCUGUAAUACGGUUGUUUUGACAAUACUCAACUUCAUUCAAAGUACCUGAAGAUUUUUUUGAAGUAAUACAAAAUUAUUUUAUUUUCCUCAUAGAGACAAUACAAAAUCUAAAGGAUUUGUCCAAAUUCCAUGAAAUAAAUAGGUAGAAAUUAAGAUCACUGUUAGGCAUUUCAGAUUUUUUGUGAAAUUAUGUAAUUUUAGAUUUGGGGUUAAGCUCCUAAGACCAUAAAGCUUUGUUAAUUGUAUCUCCUGUUGUUUAGUUUUAAAGUCAUAAAUGUUCCUCCCAUGAAAAAUGCAUUUCACAAUAGGGUCCUUAUUAUUUUCUCCUCCUUAGUUAUGAACUCAUUGCCAUAACACUUUUAAAAUUCAAGUUUUGAUUUAAUUCUGGUAGUAGACUACUUAUAGUGCAAGUGGGUGUAGUUUGGAGAGACUAUAUGACUUACUUACAGACUUGUUCAGUGAUAAAGUUAUGCCUUCUAAGUGAUUGCAAUGAUAUCCUGAUUUAAGUGCAAAGAAAAUGAGAAGUGUGGCUCUAUGAAGAUUGUGAUAGUAUGGGGUUUUUUGUUGAUCCUCAUUCAGUUUCUUGGAUAGAAAAGGGUAAAAUUUGUCUAGGUUUUGAGGAGUUUGGCUUAUUGGAAAGAUAGGACUUCACUUAUUCAAAACUCUGAAAAUACCCAGAUAGUUUUGGAGGUCUACCUGUGGUUAAGAUAUUAUCUAUCCCAGAGCAGCAGCAAGCCUGUAAUAAAUACCAUCUGCUCCAGUGUCCUGGUUUAAUGUACAGAGGAAAUUGGACCAUGAGCUGAGUUGCCAAGAGAUGGACGCAUGUUCUGUUUGGCUAAAUCUGUGCAAUGUGUUUUCCAGCCAUGGACUGAGGGAAAGAGUUUAUAGUGGCCUUACAUCAAAACCAUGCAGCUCUUUCUGGCAGAACCUACUUACUACAAGCCAGGUUAAUAAUAAAAGGGUUGCUGUAUUAUUAUCAGAGCAUCAAAAAUGGAAGAAUAGAAUGUCAUUUACGCAAUCUUCUUUCCUAAUCUAACAAAAGUCUUCUUGGCUAGACUUGGCACUCAAAUCUCAUAGAACAGGUUAUUUGUUAUGUUUAUUUUGUUAUGUUUGUGUAGCCAGGUUACUGACUAUUUGACCCUGUCUAUUUCUGAUAUGACUUUACAUAAAUCUAGCAGAAGAGUUUGAAUGACAAUGCACAGCUUUUUUGACUGUAGAAAAAUGUAAUUUGUGGCAGAAACACUGGGGGCUUGACCAAGGUGUGUUUUAUGAGGAAACGUGCUAAAUAGCAGUGGAAGUUAUUUUGUGUACCUGUGAGUUGAAGAAAUACUUGAGAUAAUUUCUAAAAGUAAUUCCACAUGAGCAGUAAACACUUAUUAAAUUUUGCUCUUAUAUCUGGUAGAAUUUCAAAGGUAAAUGGAAAAAGUGAUUACUGCAAAGGUGUGGUGGCAGAGAGGGCAGUAAAAAACCCUGAGUGCUCCUCUCCAUGUUUUCAUCUGAAGAUUUAAAUCCAAAAGGGUUUAGACUUAAUUCUAAGGGUUGUUGACCCUUAUACAUUUAGUCAGGCUUAGUGUUUUGUGUUGCAAGCUCCCUUUAAAAAAAGAGCAGAUAAUAAAAUCAUAGAAUCAUUUAGGUUAAAAAAAUACUCCAAAAUGCUGAUAGAUACGUACAACAGUAUGGGUGGAGCAGAUUUAUAAUAGGUAACCCACAAAUUUUAAUCAUAGUUAGUCAUUUUAUGACCCAUUACAAGACUCUUAAGAUUGAUUAUGGGCUUCUUGAAAUCAUCCAGACGGGCAAGCUGCUCAUUGCUCUUUUUCUACGGGAAUGUUGAUGACUAAAUGUGUUACUGGCUUUGGAACCAAAUUGCACUGGGGCCUGGUGUUAUCACUUAUAUUUCAGUGCUUUUGUUUCAGACUGUGGUUUGGCUACUAUUGCUAAAUAUAUGCAGCAGAGCUGUUUGCAAUUUAAGAGUUGAACCUCCUGGUGUUAAGAGGCCAGCAGAAGGUAGCAUUUAAGCUGUGCCUGAGGGCUCUGCUGAGGUCAAAGGCACAGAUGUGUGCCUGGUUUGUUUUUGUGCACAGAAAAUCAUGCAAGGACAGUCUGUGGGCAAAUGGAAGAUUUGCAUAUAAAUGUACAUGUUGGUAGCAGUAGGAAGUCACUCUGGUGGCUCUGGAUUUUAGCCUAGUGAUUUCCAUAUGCUUUGGGUUCUGUUGCUCAGCUUCUGAGCAGGUGGAACAUGUUUUCUGUGUAUGGCCACGACAAAAUGGUAUUGGUAUGGGGGAUGGAGUCAAACAUGAAUAUGUUAUUAGAGCUAGCCAGCUUCAACUUCAGUUUUACUGAAGAAUUGUAUUUCUCUUGACAGAUUGUAUCCAGAAAACUUUCCAGUACCUGUGGGAUAGAAUUUGUGCUUUAGAAAGAUCAUCCAAAUGGUCAGAUGGUUGGAGCACUAAGACCCAGUAAGCUCCAAAUUAGGAAAAACCAAGUAGGGAAUUUCUAGUUGCUACUCUGACGCGUGCACUGAGUGCUUUCCUUUAUUGCACAAUCCACAUGAAUUAUUUAAAUGUUUAUAUUUAUUUAAAGUUAAAUUAUUUAAAUUGCAUAUUUUGAUUUUGAUAACUAACUAUUGAAACUUGUUCCUUUUUGUAAAUAUUUUUCCUCUCAUACAAGUAUGAAAGUGUCAACUACUUGUGUGUCAGUAGUCUUGAGAAGCAUUCACCAAUUAUAGAAUUUUUCUUGAUAGUAAUUUCAAUUUCCCAAAUUUUAGGAAGAUAGAAGAAAAAAAAAUGCACUUAUGCACAGAAUAAAAUCAAGUUUUCUUCCUGCAGUUUCUCCAAAGUUAGCAUAUCAGGCUUUAGUUACUACUUUAUAAUAAUUACUGUUUGUUUCCAGUAGAAGCUGAGUAAAUGGUUACUGAACUUUGUCCUGAGAAACAAUAAAUGGGGACAAUUUCAAAUCAAAGACUGGGGAUGUUUGAUUCUGUAAUUCAACUUGUCAUUGAGCUGUCUGUUAACAGCUUCACAUCUUUCAGUGCAAUGAGGCUCAGAUUUUACUAUUGUCUAGGUAACAACUGUUAAAAUAUUGAUGGCAGUAGUAUUUACUGUAAGUAUGCUGUAAAUUAAUACCUGUUCUAUUGUUACUACUUGUAAAGAUGAGCUACAGUAGGAAUUGAUUUGUCCAUUGUUUUAAUAAAGCUCCCUAUUUUCUUGAUUUGGAAUGAAAUCCAGCUGUUUUGGAUUCUUCCAUAGAAUAAAAAUGUUUUCUAUUCUGGUAAUAAGUGUUUCUCGGGAAGAAAACGUUUGUUAUUGUUUUAGGAUAUAUCUGGUCUGCCUGUUGUUCAUAUUGAUAGACAAUGCCUCUUCAGAUUAUAGCCUUGCCUGAAGUCUGCUUUUUAAAAAAUAUUCUACCUUUGCUGUAUUACUUCAAUUGUUGUCCUAUUAAAUUAAAUAACUAAUGCAACAAAUUCCAUCCUUCCAUCAUGCUUGUGCAAGCUUUGUAAAGUUACUUCACUCUCUGUGUUACAUAGAACUGUUCAUGUAAUCUUAGUUGACUUACAUUAUGACAUUGUAGCUCUAUCUUUAUCAAAAUUUCCUAAAAUAUUGUUUUCAGCUUUAUGUCAAUGCUCCCUUACUUAUGUGACUGUGCAUGUGAGUUUUCAGGGAUGCUGCUGAGUUCAUCUCAUUCUCAACAGGUCAAGUGGAGUGUAGCGGGCUUACAACAUUUUAGCAGUGUUAUGCAUAUUUAAAUUAAAAUUUGACUUUAUAAACCUUCAUUUUUCCAUUUAACAUAAAUUUUAAUAUAACUUUUUCUUGGAUAAAGUAGUAAUAAAUUAGUAAAAUUUCUGAUUAAAUUAAAAAUUAUUCUUCUGAAUGAGUACUUAAUACUUGCACUGAGGAAAAAGGGUAGGUGAAAAAAAAAGGUCAAAUUUCUUAAAAGACAAUGUAUCUCCAUAAAUUACAUGUAUAUAAACAAAAACUCUGGGAUAAGGGUUUAGGGUACACUUUUAUUCUAAUUUUAGUAGCCAGAUUUAACAUUUCUCACAGGAUGGAAAAGGGUGAAUUUUCUUAUGAUUUUUUCUAUUAUUUCCUGAACCUUACUGUUACUAUUUUUAAGAGUUUACAUAAGGCAUCUUUAUAUAGGAAAGAGAAUUCUGGCAAUAGCAAUGCAUUACUGGAAGCAUAAAAGAUGUCACAAACAACAUUUUCUUUUUUUUUUUCCUAAUGACAGUUAUAGACCUGAUUUAUGUGGUUUGGUGUUUGUCACUCUUUCCUUCUGCCUGAAUGAUGAACACUAAUCCUAGACAAACACCAAGGAUCCCAUGGAUUGCUAGUAUUAGCAGGAGGCUUGUAAGAAUGCUCCACCAAGGACAGUGCUUUACUACAGGUCUUGUCAAUUUGAGUUUUAAAGGAAAUGAAGAUAUUGUGGUUUAAAUUAAGUUGGAAAUAGGAUUUAGAAUUUGACUGAGGACAAAUCUAGUUUAGAUUCAUUUGAAGGCAUAGACUUCACAAGUCAUAUCCUAAUUAUGGAAAUGCUAAAAGAUCAGUUGUAUUUGCAACUGCAAAUUUGUUGCUAUUCAAAGUGGUGACAUGUCUUUUGAAAUCAUCUAUUAGACUCAAGAUACUUGCCUUGAAAUGUGGCUGAAACCAGAUUUUGCAAUUGAAUACUUGGAGUUUUUGCAAAUGUUUCUCCCCUGAUAGUAGGACCAAAAGUGCAGAUAAUUUCUAGAGAUGCAUUGUAAGUGGCAGCAAACAAAGUCCACUAAAAUAAAUAAAAACUGACCACAUGAAUUAAAAUUCUGUAAUAUAAAUGGUGAGCAUGUGCUUUUUAGAUUUUACCUUUCUUUCCUUUUCUGAUUUUCUCUGAUUACCUCAAAGAUUUUUCCUUUUAUCUUUUCUUUUACCUUGGGAAGUGUUAUCCUCUUUGUAUCAGUUUUAUGUAGUAUUUAUAUCGAAGUUGCUGCCAGAUGGACUUUGUCAAAGGUCUGCAAAGUCUUUUGGGCCUUUCAUGUAUGUGAAAGGGACCUGAAUUGAUCCAGUUGUGGAAUUGGUAUUAUGGUGGGUAAGACUGUUGUGAGUUUGAUGUGUAGUGUUGCCCUAGUAUUAGAGAUCAUAAAACUAUUUCAUUCUAGACCUUGGAAAAUUAGUAAUAAUUAGAUAUGAAUUGUUUUGUGUUGACUGCAGUGGCAUGCUUUUGUUGUUCAAUGACACUGGAGCAGUCCCUUUUGACUAUGAAUUAAUGUCUGCCACUCAGUUUGUCCCCAGUUGAACUCAAUGUACAGGCCUCUUAUAUAAUAAAGUGCAAAUAACAAAGAAUGAACAUGUAGUACAAGUAAUUUAUUAUAAAAAUUUAAAAUUGGUGCUGACAUUACCCAUUCUCAACAGUUUUUAAAUACUGUGUGGUGUGCAUUAUACAGAAAUGGUAGUUUAUUUUAAGGUAAGAUUGGUUCUUUCACUGUUUUUCCUGUUACAGUGAUUUUGAUUCAUUCGGAGAAACUGCUUCAGUAGAUUAAUUUCUAAAGGUACUGUAAAAUUCAUUCCGAUGUUAAGGAUAGUAAACUUCUACAGAUGUGACCAUAAUUUUUCUGCCUUGGCAGAUAUUUUAAGACAUCUUUCAUGUCUAUAGCUGUUGAGCAUUUUCCACAUGAUGAGCUUCAACUGGAUGUACAGUGUAUUACCUCAUUGCUAUUCUUAGUGAAUAAACUUUAAAUACUAAACCCAAUUUUAAAUGUAAAAUGAUAUAAAGAAACUGUACUUUCAUAUAUUUUCUUUUUUAGUAAUGCUUUAUGAAUCCAGCGACUUAAAAAUGUUAUUUCAUCAUAAGAACUCUGGAGCAUCUGUUCAAUGUGGCAUAAUAGAAACUCAAACUGGAUGUUCUUUCAUGUUUGACUUUUCUUCUGAACCAUUGGAUGGCUCUACUUCAUUGGCUGCUAACUAGUGCAUACUCCACAUUUUCUUUCUGCAACCACAAGAAGAAACUUCUUAACACACUAACCUUCCUCAUUCAUACUUGGUAACAUCCAUAUCUGACAUAACUUGAAACUCAGCUUUGUGAGUAAUAUAUUUGUGCUGUAAAAGCUGAAGAGUACUAGAGGAAGAAGAGGGUGUGAUUGAGUGAGUGUGGAGAAAAGAAUGUGCUCAGAAACAUGUAAGGCAAUGUGUGGAGCCAACCUGACAGUAGGUAUACAGGGUUGUCCAGGGAAUGGGUGACUCUUCCUGGGUGUGCUGAAGGAGCAAUGAAUUUUUAUUAAGGGCAGAGAGAUACACAGCUGAAUGCUUGCUUUUAAAGAAUGCACUGUUUCCCAGUUCCCUUUCUGCUCUUCCUUUCUUCCCUUUAUGCCUAUUUCUACAGUGAUAAGGUUAUCUUGGCAGCAAGGAAGUUGUGUGAGCAUAACCAUUCCUCAUAGAAGGGCAGUUAUGACUCUUCUGCUAUGUGGAAGGGCUGGUCUGCUCAAAGAUUGCUUCACCUUUUAUUGUAGUUGACUGUAAUCUGACAGACAGCAGUAAUAACAAUAACAACAAAACCACAAAAACAAAAAACCCAAACCAAAAGCCAGGAAGAUGCUAAUUGAUUUAGAUGUCUAGUAUUUCAUUUGCAUUUUGUUUACAUUUCACUUUUUUUGAGGCUUCCAUUGCUCUUCAGUUUCAAACAGCUUUACUGAAUAUCCUGAAUGAGCUUGUAAAAGAUGUGCAAGUGUUUUUCCUUCACACAGGUUCUAAAUCUUGAAACAUAUUCUCUUGAAAUAUAAUAUUAUGUCUGAGUUAUUCCACUGUAUAAAAACAUACAGGAUGAGAUAGGAUAAUCUAUGGAAACGUCUUUCCUGGGAUGGAUGAUCAGAGUUAAUGGUGUCCAUUGCCCUUUAGGAGAUCUUCCAAGACAUUUAAUGGGUGCUGUAAAGGCAUUGCAGAGCAUGGGAGGCUGAAUUCUGACCGAAAAAGGCAGAAGUGAUCAAAUGGUUGUUUUCUUUCUCCUGUGCCUCAUUUUGGUGAGCUGUAUGCCUUAGUAUAAAUCUGUUGUGUUAAUUCUUCCCACCAAGAAUUUUAGCCAAGCUGAUUAUUGAUUGUGUGCGCAGUCCAGAGAUGGGAAGUCUGAUCUACUUUCUGCUCUCAUCUCCUAUUGUAUCUCUUGGUGACUGUCUAUAAUUUGGUGACAAUGCUGUACUUACUCUUUACUGGUGUUAGAUAAAAUAUUUAUCUGAUAGUAUGUGCUAAUUAUAUUUGUGGUAGUAUGUGGAGUAGUAUUUUCAGUAUGCAUUUUUAAGGGAGUAGAAGACUCCUAAGAGAGAUUAAAUGGAUGUAGGUAGUAAUACUGUGGAUUUUGUGUCUUGUCACGCAUAAAAGCCUUCAAUAUUCUUUUCCCCUCCUCACCUCCUACUAAAAAAUAAAUCAGUCCUGUAUUUUCUGUAUUUUUCAUUUUCAUAAUUGAAAACCUGCAGGAUUUGGCCCAUGGUGGUUUUCCUAUAUGUUGCACUGUUUUAUACUACUCAAAUGAUCUCUAUAUCUGUAUUUCUGAACAAUUUUCACUUAGUAAGGUAAAUGUGGAUGUCUUAUAAAAGUUCAAGCAAAAUUAAAUUUUACAUUCUCAACAUUCUCACAUCUGUCUCUGAUGCUAUGUUUUGCUAUAUGGAUAUGGAAGUAGAAACUUGGGAUAACUGAAAUAAAGUCUGAGCCUUUGAUGUAAAAAUAAUUAAUUUCCUGUAAUUAAAAAGAAAUUCUCACAUGGGCAGACAGUUCUAGAAUUUGUCACAUUAGGGUUUCUUACAACAUCCUUUGAAGGAUUUUCCUUUUUACAAGUCCUUCUGGAAACAGCUGGAUCAUUGGCUUAUCUAACAGCAUUAUUUCUAUGACUUUAAUGGCAAUCUUGUGCAGAAAUGAGCAUCAAAAUGACUUAAGUAGUAACUUAUAUGACUCAUCAAGAGUCACGUAAGUAGACUCAGAUUAGCUGCGAUACUGAUUUUAUGAACAAGGAAUAUUUUCAAACGGUAAUCUAGGCCAGACUGGCCUCUGUAAAUACUAGAGAACUAUUUUGCAAGAGUAAAGUAAAUCUAGUAAUUCUUACUUUGUUUUGAAAUAGUAUACAAAAAUUUUAAACUUUCCUUUAAAAUGUCUCCCUCUUCCUGCAGUGUAAACAUUUCAAAUUGCCCUCUUUGUGAAACUGAAAUAGUUGUAAAUUAGCUUGUGGGGUUUUUUUUGUUUGUUUUGUUUUCUUGCUUUUUCUCCUCAGCUCUUUUCAAGAACACAAUGGUUGUUGUUUGAGAACAUGCAAGCAGUGAGUUCUGGACUGAACUGAAACUGAAGUGGAAUGAUAGAAAGAAUUUCUGAGAACUAAAACAACAAGAAUGAGCAUCAAAAAAAAGAAUGGAAAUGAAAGGGAAAGGCAGUUCCCAGCUUGAACUAAAAACCUGACCAUUGUAUGCUGAUGUUAAAUGUAUCAGAAGAUUGUUUGGAAACAGGAAAUUCAGAGGACUGUAUAACAGUGUCAGCAUAGCAGACCUCCUGUGUAUAUUUCAACCUAUUGGUCAGUGGCUGCUUAGUGCCAUCACUGCCUGAUGCUGAAGGUCUGAUGUCAUGUUCCAAGUGACUCAUGCAGUGCAGACUGAGGAAAUAGGAGGGUGAAUUUGGGAAGUGAAGUUGACAGGAAGCUGACACUGUGCUGAUAAAGGAAAGCAAGGCAAACUUUGCAGUCUGUGCCAGGUUCUGUAGCUUCACUGCUGAACUGCCUGCAGUCCACCUAUGUAAUGCAUACCUUGAUGCAAUACAGUCAUGCCUUGCUGGAGAUUGGAAUCCAGCUACAGGUGAUGAAGCAGAAGAGGAGCUGGGGGAUGAUAUUGAUGAAUCUCCUUGGAUGCAGUGUCUGAAUUUUGUGGCAAGUGACAUCGUGCUCAAUGGCCGUGUUCUCCACUGGUUUCUCUUGUCCUGGUUUUUGGGUUUUUUACAUUAGGAAGAACUGAAGGCUUAAUAGCCUUUUGACACUAAAAGAUAUUUAGAUCUGUAGGCUUGCUUUCUCUCAGUUCUAUAAUCAUAAUUGGAACUGAAGAACGAAGUAGAUAAAGGGAAUUGUCCAACAUCAGAAUUACAUUUAAUCAUUCUGGUCUGUGAAUAAGAGUUUAAAGAUGUGAUUAGAGUUUGAAAUUACAGAAAGGCAAAAGAAUAGAAGAUGCAUUUUAGUUGCUUACAAUACAUGGAAUAAGAAGAUGGAAGAUUGUCUCAAAUUUGAUUCCAUUCAUUGCUCAUCAGAUAACAUAGGAGUAUUUGAGUUGAUUUAAAUAACGUUUUUCUUUUUUUUUAAGUGAGCAUUUCUGAAACUAAUGUAUCCAACUGCACAAAUUUUAUGUGCAAAUAUCUUUUCCCGUGUCAGGCUGAUCUCUGUGGAAAAUGUAAACUUAAGA